This 391-nucleotide unclassified non-coding RNA is filed under the name uncultured Entrophospora. RNAcentral describes it as "SSU rRNA". It matches the Rfam family "Eukaryotic small subunit ribosomal RNA", at positions 569 to 968 of the family's 1831-position model. Lineage: Eukaryota; Fungi; Glomeromycota; Glomeromycetes; Entrophosporales; Entrophosporaceae. The record is from RNAcentral.
AGCAGCCGCGGUAAUUCCAGCUCCAAUAGCGUAUAUUAAAGUUGUUGCAGUUAAAAGCUCGUAGUUGAAUUUCGGGGUCAGCAAGUUGGUCGUGCCACUGGUAUGUACUGGCUUUGCUGAUUCCUCCUUCUUGUGGAACCGUAAUGCCAUUAAGUUGGUGUUGCGGGAGAACAGGACUGUUACUUUGAAAAAUUGAGUGUUUAAAGCAGGCUAACGCUUGAAUACAUUAGCAUGGAAUAAUGAAAUAGGACGACGAUCCUAUUUUGUUGGUUUCUAGGAUUGACGUAAUGAUUAAUAGGGAUAGUUGGGGGCAUUAGUAUUCAAUUGUCAGAGGUGAAAUUCUUGGAUUUAUUGAAGACUAACUACUGCGAAAGCAUUUGCCAAGGAUGUU